Molecule: long non-coding RNA, 1375 nt
Filed under: Medicago truncatula (barrel medic)
Lineage: Eukaryota; Viridiplantae; Streptophyta; Magnoliopsida; Fabales; Fabaceae
Description: long non-coding RNA (MTRU_LNC002133)
Source: RNAcentral
AAAGAAGUAAACAUCUAAUUUAAAUUUUAUCGACUUUUAAUUUUUUACCCGCUCAUAAUUUGAUUUUUUAACCUUUUCCUAAUAAAGCUAUAGUCAUAGACGCCUUUCUUUUCUUCUCGUUUCCGCUCCCCUCUCUCUAACAAACCUCCACAGCCGCAACCCUUUGCCGCACCUCAAUUCUGGCCGCCACGAUGUAGACCAUGGCUUUUGGUGGUGCAAUCGAGUUCUUUUGGUGGCUUCUUGUUGCCGCCGCGUUUUUGCGGUACUGUUCUAUGGUCUAAUCUUGGUUUCGCGUUUGCGACACGUUGAUUUGCGUCGACCUAGGGAUGGGGUUUACGACAGUUGUGCUGCUUUGUGGUCACACCGUGUGUCUGUCCUCUCGUGAAUCGGUCUCUGGUUCCUUAUUCACGAUGGUUGUUUACCACCGUCGAAUUUUCAAUAUGUUGUUAUAGGUGGUUCACGGUUGUUGAUCGCAUUGAUGUUUAUGGUUGAUUUUGUCGCAAUCUGAGAUUCGGUUAAACAUCAUCGAUGUUGCCGCAAUGAUCAGCGAACCAAUUUACAUUGAUGGGAUAUUUCAUCGCUCUGAAUUUUGGUUUGAAAGGGCUGUUGGUUCUUGAAUCUAUCUAUGUUGGCGGUUGGUUCUUUCGUUGUGCGCUGGCAUCGUGUUUUAAUGGAUUUGUAGAUGGUUUGGCUCGAAAGGGAAAUUAUAGCUUGUUGUUGUUUGGCAGGGAGUUGCAGGAUCUUGAAUCGCUUCUGUGCUGGCAGAUGAUUCAUACGCCAGUUUAGACCCUCUUGGUAUUCAUCGUUUGCUUUAUCUUUUAGGGUAGGAUCCAUUUUGUGGAUUUUUUUUUUCUUAUUUUGUUUUUUUGUUUUGCCCCUUUGGGCUGUUUACUGAGUUAGGUUUUAUGUCCCCCCAAUUUUUAUGUAAUUUUUUCCUUUUUUUAAUAAUAUAUAUGAGCAAUUGGCAUUAGAUUAGAGUAGGGUUCCAACUUAAUUGGACACUAUUCUUUUUUAUGUCAUUUUGCUAUUGUCUUAUCAAAAAAAAAAACUUUUAAUUUUUUACGGAAGUUUAAUUUUCAAUUAAUAAAUGUAGUUAUUCAUCUUUUUUAAAAUAUGAGAAAUUGUGAAUAUUGUUUUUAUUUUUUUUUAUUUAGUGAAAUAUUUUUGGAUCAUAUUUAUAAUAUAAAAAGAAGUUAGUCAUUUUUGUUAAAUUUUUGGUUAAAACAUCUAUGUUGCUAACAGAUGCGCACACAUGGAAAAAAAUUCGGUUUGGGGGUACGAGUUUCCACUUGGACAUUUUAGAUAAAAUUAACUCAAAAUUUGAGAUGACGAACCUACAUUGACAUCAGUAACCUAAGUUUGAUAAUUGUUUAAG